RNAcentral lists this unclassified non-coding RNA (369 nucleotides) under uncultured Glomus. Its description in RNAcentral is "SSU rRNA". It matches the Rfam family "Eukaryotic small subunit ribosomal RNA", at positions 569 to 1074 of the family's 1831-position model. Lineage: Eukaryota; Fungi; Glomeromycota; Glomeromycetes; Glomerales; Glomeraceae. The record is from RNAcentral.
AGCAGCCGCGGUAAUUCCAGCUUCAAUAGUGUAUAUUAAAGUUGUUGCAGUUAAAAGCUCGUAGUUGGGUGAGUACUGUCUGUGGCCGGGUCCUACCUUCUGGCGAAGCGUCAUGCCCUUAACCGGCCGUGCGGGGAACCAGGACUUUUACUGUGAAAAAUUAGAGUGUUCAAAGCAGGCAGUCGCUUGGAUACAUUAGCAUGGAAUAAUGGAAUAGGACAAUUCUAUUGGAUUUAUUGAAGACUAACUACUGCGAAAGCAUUUGCCAAGGAUGUUUCAUUAAUCAAGAACGAAAGUUAGGGAUCAGAUACCGUCGUAGUCUUAACCAUAAACUNUGCCGACUAGGAAUCGGGCAUGUUGAACAAAAUG